GAUGAACGCUGGCGGCGUGCCUAAUACAUGCAAGUCGAGCGAACAGAUGAGGAGCUUCCUCCUCUGACGUUAGCGGCGGACGGGUGAGUAACACGUGGAUAACCUACCUAUAAGACUGGGAUAACUUCGGGAAACCGGAGCUAAUACCGGAUAAUAUAUUGAACCGCAUGGUUCAAUAGUGAAAGACGGUUUUGCUGUCACUUAUAGAUGGAUCCGCGCCGCAUUAGCUAGUUGGUAAGGUAACGGCUUACCAAGGCAACGAUGCGUAGCCGACCUGAGAGGGUGAUCGGCCACACUGGAACUGAGACACGGUCCAGACUCCUACGGGAGGCAGCAGUAGGGAAUCUUCCGCAAUGGGCGAAAGCUUGACGGAGCAACGCCGCGUGAGUGAUGAAGGUCUUCGGAUCGUAAAACUCUGUUAUUAGGGAAGAACAAAUGUGUAAGUAACUAUGCACGUCUUGACGGUACCUAAUCAGAAAGCCACGGCUAACUACGUG
RNAcentral lists this ribosomal RNA (497 nucleotides) under uncultured bacterium. RNAcentral describes it as "partial 16S ribosomal RNA". It matches the Rfam family "Bacterial small subunit ribosomal RNA", at positions 28 to 507 of the family's 1533-position model. The record is from RNAcentral.